UAACGGUCCUAAGGUAGCAAAUUUCCUUGUCGUCUUAAUAACGACCUGCAUGAAACAUAGAACGAUUUGAUAGCUGUCUUGCACACACAUCAUGGUAAAAUAUUCAUCAGUACAAAUAAUAUGCUGCUGACACUAAAGGACAAAAAGACCCUUUGAAGCUUUAUAGGGAUAAAACUCAGCUUUAAAUCAACAAACAAUGAAAUCCAUCUUGUUACUUCUCCGCUUUUUAAAUUGCUAAAGCCUUACAAGAUUUACAACAUCAAGACCACUGUUUAAUUGGGGCGAUAACCUUAUCCACAGCCACCUAAGGUGAACAAAGCGAUACAAGGAUCCUAAAUACUAAUUUGACCAACUAAUAAGUGCAAAGAUACAUGUUUUGCUUAAUGGCCCAACAAGUCCUUCCCAGUACUUAAAUGCUAUCUUAAUGAGCUUUAAAUUA
This 439-nucleotide ribosomal RNA is filed under the name Symbiodinium sp. B1. RNAcentral's name for it is "partial 23S ribosomal RNA". Lineage: Eukaryota; Dinophyceae; Suessiales; Symbiodiniaceae. The record is from RNAcentral.